UGGGGAAUAUUGCACAAUGGGCGCAAGCCUGAUGCAGCCAUGCCGCGUGUAUGAAGAAGGCCUUCGGGUUGUAAAGUACUUUCAGCGGGGAGGAAGGUGUUGUGGUUAAUAACCACAGCAAUUGACGUUACCCGCAGAAGAAGCACCGGCUAACUCCGUGCCAGCAGCCGCGGUAAUACGGAGGGUGCAAGCGUUAAUCGGAAUUACUGGGCGUAAAGCGCACGCAGGUGGUCUGUCAAGUCGGAUGUGAAAUCCCCGGGCUCAACCUGGGAACUGCAUCCGAAACUGGCAGGCUUGAGUCUUGUAGAGGGGGGUAGAAUUCCAGGUGUAGCGGUGAAAUGCGUAGAGAUCUGGAGGAAUACCGGUGGCGAAGGCGGCCCCCUGGACAAAGACUGACGCUCAGGUGCGAAAGCGUGGGGAGCAAACA
Molecule: ribosomal RNA, 427 nt
Filed under: uncultured bacterium
Lineage: Bacteria
Description: partial 16S ribosomal RNA
Rfam family: Bacterial small subunit ribosomal RNA
Source: RNAcentral